AUUGAACGCUGGCGGCGUGCCUAACACAUGCAAGUCGAGCGGUAACAGGUGUAGCAAUACAUGCUGACGAGCGGCGAACGGGUGAGUAAUGCUUUGGAAUCUUCCCAGUAGUGGGGAUAACCAGUCGAAAGAUUGGCUAAUACCGCAUACGUCUGUAAAGGGAAAGCGGGGGCUCGCAAGACCUCGCGCUAUUGGAUGAGCCAAAGUCGGAUUAGCUAGUGGUGGGGUAAUGGCCUACCAAGGCGACAAUCCGUAGCUGGUCUGAGAGGACGACCAGCCACACCGGAACUGAGACACGGUCCGGACUCCUACGGGAGGCAGCAGUGGGGAAUAUUGGACAAUGGGGGAAACCCUGAUCCAGCGACGCCGCGUGUGUGAAGAAGG
Molecule: ribosomal RNA, 384 nt
Filed under: uncultured bacterium
Lineage: Bacteria
Description: bacterial SSU rRNA
Rfam family: Bacterial small subunit ribosomal RNA
Source: RNAcentral